UACGUAGGUGGCAAGCGUUGUCCGGAAUUAUUGGGCGUAAAGCGCGCGCAGGCGGCUUCUUAAGUCUGAUGUGAAAUCUCGGGCUCAACCCCGAGCGGCCAUUGGAAACUGGGAGCUUGAGUACAGAAGAGGAGAGUGGAAUUCCACGUGUAGCGGUGAAAUGCAUAGAUAUGAUGGAGGAACACCAGUGGCGAAGGCGACUCUCUGGUCUGUAACUGACGUGAGGCGCGAAAGCGUGGGAGCAAACAGG
RNAcentral lists this ribosomal RNA (250 nucleotides) under uncultured bacterium. Its description in RNAcentral is "partial 16S ribosomal RNA". It matches the Rfam family "Bacterial small subunit ribosomal RNA", at positions 524 to 776 of the family's 1533-position model. The record is from RNAcentral.